CAUGAGCUGUUUUGGACCCGUGUCUGUUGGUAGAUCCCCCGACUCCUCGUGCGGCCGACUAUCGACGCCGUGUCCCGUCCCGUCAUUCGUGUGGCUUACGCCGCUGUUGCCUUUUGAAGUGCUUGCGUGCCGGUACCCGACCUACGGGAAUUGGUGCUUUCUACACGGUUGCCUCGCGGUGGACGCCUUCGGGUGUGCCGCUGCGGCCAAUCGGUGCUUGCGGCGUUGCCUCGUGGUGUUGGCAUGUUUACGUGUCCGGUGCUAUCAAGGAAGCCUCGCUCGUGCUGUUGGUUUCGGAUGUUGCUCACGUUAAAGGCUCAUAUGGCCCUUUUUUGUUGCCUAAGACCCGACCCUUCAAAGCUCCCUGAACCCGAAAACGUGUCGUGGAACUGUGUUGCCUCUGCCUAUCCACAGCUAGUGGUAGGAUAUGCAACAGCCUGGACCGAUACAAGUAAGAUGUAGGGGAGCUUGGCCCGCUCAAUUGCGACAACCGGCCCGGCUGUUGUCUGCCCUUACGGGUGGAUUGCUCCGACGCUGGAAGUCAAAGAGGACGGCU
Molecule: unclassified non-coding RNA, 556 nt
Filed under: Trisetum flavescens
Lineage: Eukaryota; Viridiplantae; Streptophyta; Magnoliopsida; Poales; Poaceae
Description: partial external transcribed spacer
Source: RNAcentral